RNAcentral lists this ribosomal RNA (253 nucleotides) under uncultured bacterium. RNAcentral's name for it is "partial 16S ribosomal RNA". It matches the Rfam family "Bacterial small subunit ribosomal RNA", at positions 524 to 776 of the family's 1533-position model. The record is from RNAcentral.
UACAGAGGGGGCAAGCGUUGUUCGGAAUUACUGGGCGUAAAGCGCGCGUAGGCGGCUUUGUAAGUUAGAGGUGAAAGCCCGGGGCUCAACUCCGGAACUGCCUUUAAGACUGCAUCGCUUGAAUCCGGGAGAGGUGAGUGGAAUUCCGAGUGUAGAGGUGAAAUGCGUAGAGAUUAGGAAGAACACCAGUGGCGAAGGCGACUUACUGGACUGUAACUGACGCUGAGGCAUGAAAGCGUGGGGAGCAAACAGG